UUUGGACUAGGAUUUGGUUAGGGUUUGAUUUAAGGUUUGGUUUAGGGUUUAGGAUUUGGAUUAGAGUUUAGGAUUUGGAUUAGGAUUUGGAUUAGGAUUUAAGAUUUGAUUAGGAUUUGAUUUAGGGUUUGGAUUAGGGUUUGGACUAGAGUUUAGGGUUUGGACAAGAGCAACAGGUUAACGAUCGCAAAGAGAGUAUGGCUAACAAAGCAUUACAAGCGGACAGGAUAAGAUCGAUCAAUUUGAAGGAAAGGAUAUUACAAAAUAUUUAAGAUAUUAUGUAAAGGAAAUGGAAUUGAAGCGUAUUUCAUAAAGUGA
This 318-nucleotide long non-coding RNA is filed under the name Physcomitrium patens. Its description in RNAcentral is "long non-coding RNA (PPAT_LNC004923)". The record is from RNAcentral. Lineage: Eukaryota; Viridiplantae; Streptophyta; Bryopsida; Funariales; Funariaceae.